Molecule: ribosomal RNA, 497 nt
Filed under: uncultured bacterium
Lineage: Bacteria
Description: partial 16S ribosomal RNA
Rfam family: Bacterial small subunit ribosomal RNA
Source: RNAcentral
GAUGAACGCUGGCGGCGUGCCUAAUACAUGCAAGUCGAGCGAACGGACGAGAAGCUUGCUUCUCUGAUGUUAGCGGCGGACGGGUGAGUAACACGUGGAUAACCUACCUAUAAGACUGGGAUAACUUCGGGAAACCGGAGCUAAUAACGGAUGAUAUUUUGAACCGCAUGGUUCAAAAGUGAAAGACGGUCUUGCUGUCACUUAUAGAUGGAUCCGCGCUGCAUUAGCUAGUUGGUAAGGUAACGGCUUACCAAGGCAACGAUGCAUAGCCGACCUGAGAGGGUGAUCCGCCACACUGGCACUGAGACACCGUCCAGACUCCUACGGGAGGCACCAGUAUCGACUCUUCCGCGAUGGGCGAAAGCCUGACGGAGCAACGCCGCGUGAGUGAUGAAGGUCUUCGGAUCGUAAAACUCUGUUAUUAGGGAAGAACAUAUGUGUAAGUAACUGUGCACAUCUUGACGGUACCUAAUCAGAAAGCCACGGCUAACUACGUG